Long non-coding RNA from Dioscorea cayenensis subsp. rotundata (Guinea yam), 2474 nucleotides. RefSeq lists it as uncharacterized. NCBI's taxonomy places the organism in Eukaryota, Viridiplantae, Streptophyta, Magnoliopsida, Dioscoreales, Dioscoreaceae. The record is from RefSeq and is a predicted model, not a curated record. The transcript is spliced from 7 exons.
UCCCUAAUUUCCUAACUUCCCAGUCACCAAUUUGAGCACUCCCUGACUCGCCGCCACUCCACUUCUUUUCCCGCUCUCGAUUUCCUUCUCCAUCUCUAUCGGUUAAACUCUCCAAAUAAAAACCCUAUCAACCCUCUUCGUUGCUGCCACCACAUCGAAACCCUAGAAAUCUCUGCAGCUCGAGCUCGGCAUCGAUGGCGGAUCCAACGAUCUUCAGCGGAUGGGACGCUAAUCAAGCUCAUGAACCUGGCUGGAGGCUCUACAAUCCCUACCAGGACCUUCAGUUCUCGCGUCAAAUCGUGAAUGACUUGCGGACUUCACCGGAGAUCCUUUUCCAUGAAGAAUCCAUACGCCAGCACCGGUCCAGGGGCGAGAAGCUCACCUACUGCACCGGUGUGUGUUACCUCGCCGGUGUUGUGGCCGGUGGAUCAAUCGGGCUUCGUGAUGGCCUUCUUGCUGUGGAGCAGGGAGACAACUUAAAGCUCUGGAUCAACCGUGUUGCUCCGUAUCAACCAAGUUCUAACUUCUAAGUGGUUGUUACUAAGAGGUUAUUACAACAUCAAUGGCAUUCUCAUGGAGGAGGAGCCUAUGUCAGUUGUUUUCCAAGUUGGAGCAAAUGGGGUUGGGUUGCUGGAUCCUGGUUCAGAAGCAAAUAAUGGUGAAAAGGGUACCGAAGUUGAUCUCCCCUUUUGGCUUGCUCAUGAGUUAUACUUGAGGCAAGCAGCGUCAAUAAAUGUGUGUGUUUGCUUCAAUCAAAAGGCUGCUUUCGGAGAACAUAAGAGAAUGCAGAAUAAGAAAGCUCUCUCACUGAAGAAACAGAGACAGUUGGGACUGAUCAUCAGGCCUUAUAGAAGACCAGAAUGGGCACAAAGAGCAUGAGGAGGGUACCAGACGCUUGAUUCUAUGCUUGGGAAAGAACCAGAAGCGGUUUAAUUAGUGUCAGGAAGAGCCCAUAAAUUUGGGUGCAUACCAUUAUAUUGCAACAAAUCCGCAUACGACAAUGAAGGCAAUGGGUAGAGCUUCAAUUAAGGACAUCAAAUAUGUUGGUAGACCUCCAUCUGCAGCCAUAGCCACCUGUUUCCAUUCAAGUUCACUUUUUUUGCCAAGAGCUUAAGGAUCUUAUCCAGAAUGAAGUGCAACCAGAGCCUAUCAACCAUUCUCAAUGGAGCUAACGAGGAUCACCACAUGGUACGGUUUUCUUUCCUAGUUCUUGUUUCCUCUUCUUUCUUUCUCUCUGCCACUCUGAUGAUCAUGUUAAAUAAUUCAAUUUUGAUUUACUGGAAGUUGGAACAUGGAAUUUUAAUCUGAAUUUCAUUAUAUAUGGUGUAUGUAUUAGUCAGGUUAUAAAAUUUGAUACUGUUUAGUUUGUUUUCACCAAUUUAGUUUGACAACAAUAGUAACAAAAAGGAUUUCUAAGGGUGUGCUUCUGUUUUGGUGCGCCUAAACCUCACCAACCCUGGAGAAGUUUAAUAAGAUUAUGAGAAAUAAAGCUAAAGAAUUCAAGAGUGCAGAGAGAGCUUAUGAUUAUCAUAUAUAUAAUAAUAUAUAUAUUGAGAGUGAGAGAGAGAGAGAGAGAGAGAGAGAGCAUUUGACAAGCUAUCAAAUUAACACUGCUUAUUUUCAUUGGAGUCCAACACUAGUUUUUCACUAGACUAUUAGUAUUUAACAAGCUAGAGAGAGAGAGAGAGAGAGAGAGAGAGAGAGAGAGCAUUCAACAAGCUAUCAAAUUAACACUGCUUAUUUUCAUUGGUGUCCAACAUUAGUUUUUCACUAGACUAUUAGUAUUUAUGAUUAAACUCCUGUCAGCAAGCAUUUGGGCAGAAUAGGUUAUUGUGGAAAAUUAUUUUCCUCUGUGUUAGAACGGGGGGUAUAAUUAUUUAUAAUACUUGGAUAUUUGCAUUUGAUCAUUUAUAUCUUGUUAGAUUUUCUUAUUAUUUUUUAACACUAGUUUUUUCCCCAUCCCGUCAGUGCUUCUAAAAUAACCCAAAUAGGCCCUACUAUCUUUUUUAUCUGAAUCCUCAGGUAGUUUUGAAAUUUUCAAUUGUUUGCAAUUUGAGACCGUCUAAAAUAAAAACUGAAAACUUCGUCUUAUGUUGAAAAACCAUUUAUGGUAAACAUCAUUUUGGAAAACUUAGGGUCCAUUUGGCAAUGCUUUGGAUUUUUUGGUUUUUAACUUUUUAAAAGCUAAUUUAAAAACCAAAAGCUGUUUCUUUUUCUUGUUUUUAAAAAGUUUUAAAGAGAAUAUAUGUUGGUUUCCGGAAAAAAAUCAGCUGGCAGCUGGUGUUGUUCAGUUUGACACUACCCAAAACCACUUUUUGGCUGCUAGUGAAGAAAAUCAAAUAAAGUUUUGGGAUGUGGACAAUGUGAGCAUGCUCACAAGCACAGAUGCAGAUGGUGGACUUCAGGUCAGUUUUUAUAUUAUUGCCAUAGAAUUAUAUAAAUAUAUUGCAAGGUCUUUGACUCAUUAGCAUUAA